CUCAGCCUCCCAAAGUGCUGGGAUUACAGGCGUGAGCCACCACACCCGGCUGGUAUCUUUUUUUUUUUUUUUUUUUUGAAGACAGAGUCUUGCUCUGUCCCCCAGGCUGGAGCAACCAUCACAGCUCACCGCAGCCUCAGCCUCCUGGGCUCAGGCGAUCCUCCCGCCUCAGCCUCCCGAGUACCUGGGACCGCAGACGCGCUCCACCAUGCCUGUUCUUUGUUGUUGUUGUUGAGACAGGGUCUCAUUAUGUUGUCCAGGCUGGACAUGAACUCCUGGGCUCAAGCAUCCUCCUGCCUUGGCUUCCUGUUGUGAUUAUAGGUGUGAAAUACUACACCCAGCCUGAUUUUUGGUUUUAGAGACAGGAUCUUGCUGAGCUGCCCAGGUGGGAAGGCAAUGGCUGUUCGCAGGCUCACUCACGGUGCACUACCGCCGUGAGCUCCUGGACUCAAGUGAUCCUCCUGCUGCAGCCUCCCAAGCAGCUGGGACCACAGGUGUGAGCCAUGUUUCCAGUUUAUCACAGACAGAGUCUGCUGUGGAGUAGGGUGGCGUGAUCUCAG
This 560-nucleotide long non-coding RNA is filed under the name Homo sapiens (human). Its description in RNAcentral is "HSALNT0235457". Lineage: Eukaryota; Metazoa; Chordata; Mammalia; Primates; Hominidae. The record is from RNAcentral.